RNAcentral lists this unclassified non-coding RNA (343 nucleotides) under soil metagenome. Its description in RNAcentral is "partial contains 5.8S ribosomal RNA, internal transcribed spacer 2, and large subunit ribosomal RNA". The stretch from base 1 to 120 matches the Rfam family "5.8S ribosomal RNA", at positions 35 to 154 of the family's 154-position model. The record is from RNAcentral.
GAUGAAGAACGUAGCGAAACGCGAUAAGUAAUGUGAAUUGCAGAAUCCAGUGAAUCAUCGAAUCUUCGAACGCACAUUGCGCCCGCCAGCAUUCUGGCGGGCAUGCCUGUUCGAGCGUCAUUUCAACCCUCGACCUCCCCUUGGGGAGGUCGGCGUUGGGGACCGGCAGCACACCGCCGGCCCUGAAAUGGAGUGGCGGCCCGUCCGCGGCGACCUCUGCGCAGUAAUACAGCUCGCACCGGGACCCCGACGCGGCCACGCCGUAAAACACCCAACUUCUGAACGUUGACCUCGAAUCAGGUAGGACUACCCGCUGAACUUAAGCAUAUCAAUAAGCGGAGGA